Molecule: long non-coding RNA, 493 nt
Filed under: Cyanistes caeruleus (blue tit)
Lineage: Eukaryota; Metazoa; Chordata; Aves; Passeriformes; Paridae
Description: lncRNA (ENSCCEG00000019062.1)
Source: RNAcentral
CCUUUAAUUUGUUCUUUCUGUCAGCUCUCUUUUGUACUCUGAGGAGAUUCUCUCUGGAUUAUUCCCCAGUCUAUGUAGCUGUGCUCUUCACUUGGAUUCCCAUUACCUGCUAAAAUUUGGAUGCAGCAAAUCCACUUGGAUGAAGGCAGUACUCUGUGAACACAAGGUGCAAGCAGCACAAUCUCUACCCCGUGUACAAAGAACAUCCAUCAAAAUAAAUAUAACAGCCUUGAUAGGAAGAAAGGCCAACUGCAGCCUGGCGUGUCCAGCCCUCCUGCCCAUGUCAGCUGCAUACCAAACUUGAUCUACAAGUCUGCUAAACCGCUAUGGAAAGUGUGAACAGAAGAAAGGGGCAAAGCAGGAUGGACUCCCUUCAUCUUAGUCAGAAAACAUCAUUUGCUAAACAAGCUUUGACAGCCAUAAAAUCUGAGAUGGAGAAGGUACAGACCUCCACAGGUGGUUUGAAUAUUAUGUAAGGAAUGAUUCCUCCUUG